ACUGACUAUGACACUUAGCUUUAGACCCUUUUAUCUCCAAAGUCAGACGUGUGUUUUUUUUAGUUGGCCAACACAUACAAGUGAAUCAGCCACAAGAAACUUCCAUCUUAUCUGCUUCAGCUCCAGCUAUGUCGAUUACCAAUGAUACAAACAUGUCAGCUCCUGAGAACAAGGUAUCGAAGGUUCAAGUGAAUCAGCCACUAGAAAAGAUCUAUAGCCAUUCCCGCCACUUCAGCCUCCUGCACCCUCGUCUUCAGCUCGCCUUAAGGCUAAGAAAUGAAGGCGGAGCUCGGUUUUGCGUUUCACUAGGAUCAACGAAUACACUAAAGCUGAGAUGUAAUUGUGUUCUAAUCUAGAAGACACAGCACAGUAGACAACAAUCUGUUGUUUUAAUUUGAUAGAGUAAUCGCGCUUGUUUACAAUGUUGGAUUUAUGUACUAGUAAUGGUGCUAUGUUUAUACACCUA
Raphanus sativus (radish) is the source of this 466-nucleotide long non-coding RNA. RefSeq lists it as uncharacterized. The record is from RefSeq and is a predicted model, not a curated record. The transcript has 2 exons. Lineage: Eukaryota; Viridiplantae; Streptophyta; Magnoliopsida; Brassicales; Brassicaceae.